Molecule: long non-coding RNA, 182 nt
Organism: Lagopus leucura (white-tailed ptarmigan)
Lineage: Eukaryota; Metazoa; Chordata; Aves; Galliformes; Phasianidae
Exons: 3
Source: RefSeq, a predicted model, not a curated record
CUGCGAGUGAGCCCAGGAUAGGGCUUUCCAGUUCAUCUCAGCAAUUUGUUGCUGUUGUUGGACUUCUUUCUGCUGGCUAACUGCAAUAAAUGGCUUCGUAAGGUCGCUGCUGGGAAGAGGCAGAAUAAGGAGAGGAAUAGAGGCAUCCAGCAGAGGUCCCCCACAGCUUGCUGCUGUCAGUG